AGCGGCGGACGGGUGAGUAACGCGUGGGUAACCUGCCUCAUACAGGGGGAUAACAGUUGGAAACGGCUGCUAAUACCGCAUAAGCGCACAGUACCGCAUGGUACGGUGUGAAAAACUCCGGUGGUAUGAGAUGGACCCGCGUCUGAUUAGGUAGUUGGUGGGGUAGCGGCCUACCAAGCCGACGAUCAGUAGCCGACCUGAGAGGGUGACCGGCCACAUUGGGACUGAGACACGGCCCAA
Molecule: ribosomal RNA, 240 nt
Filed under: uncultured bacterium
Lineage: Bacteria
Description: partial 16S ribosomal RNA
Rfam family: Bacterial small subunit ribosomal RNA
Source: RNAcentral